GAAUACCUUCCAAAGUCUGGAGGCAAUGUUCCAGACAAAUUAUUGAUGAACACUCUGAACUGUUUGAGAUUUGGUAGACGGCCAAUGCUUGCUGGAACCGCACCAGAAAAACCAUUUAAAAACAAAGCUAACCAUGUUAAUUUGGUAAGGUUUCCAUAAUCUUGUGGUAUUGGGCCUGUUAAAUGGUUUGUAGAAAUAUCAAUGACAGUCAAGUUCAAUGCUUCAACCACUUGAGGUACAUACCCAGACAGGCUGUUGUUGUAGAGAUAGAUUAUACUCAACUUCUUCAACAGAAACAAAACACUUGGGAUUGUCCCAUUUAAACUGUUGGUUGCCAAAUCCAAUUCUUCCAGUGCUGCCAUUUCUCCAAGUGUUCCGGGGAGUUCUCCAAUCAAAUUCGAUCCGCGUAUAUACAAAGUCUUCAAGUUUUUCAACUUGGUGAAAUUGGAAGGUAGAUUCCAUGGCACAAGUUUUGUAUUGAAAGAGAGACUUAGGUGUUUAAGAUUGGACAAGUUACCUAUUUCUGGUGGCACGGAACCAUUAAAGUUGUUCAUAUACAGCUGCAGGUUCCUGAGCUCUUGUAACCGCCCAAUAGCCGCCGGUAUGUCACCAGAAAAGUAGUUAGCGCUAAGGUCAAGGUAUUGAAGCCGAUGCAAGCUAUCGAUAUCGUCAGGAAUCUUGCCAUCAAAGGAAUUUUGAGAGAGGUUCAAGUACUGUAGCUUUGAACAGUUGUAGAAAGCUUUUGGGAACUCUCCAGCAAAGUUGUUGUAGCUGAGAUCAAUGAGUGUGAGGUUCUUGAGAUCACAAAUGAAAGGUGGAACUGGUAGGGUGAUGUUCGUGUGGACCAGAGACAAUCCGGUGACGGAGUUGUUUGUGCAGGUGAUCUCAGGCUGCCAGGAACAGUGGGAAGUGUUUGAUGUUGAUGGAAUCCAAUGACUGAGGAACGGUGGAGAUUGCAAGUAUGACUUUAUUUUUAGCAGAACAGCUUGUUCUUGGUCUUGCAAUGACUGAGAGUUGGCAUGGCUGAUGAGGAGGAGGGGGAGGAAGAGAAGGAAGCAGAGAUGGGUGUGGAGAGAAGAUGUUAGGGUAGGUUCAGUCAUUUGGUGAUGGAGGUUCAGAAGUUGGUUUGUUCCCGCGGCAUGAACUCUGGUUUUGAUGACAAGACAAGUAAGUUAAGGGAAGUUGAUUUCCUUGUAGUGUUGGAAAGUGGAAACUUCAAAACCAUUUGCAGGGCCACAAACGAAUGCAAACUUUUGGCAAUUUGAGUGGAGGACCUGGAAAAUGAUGGUCAACGGAGACCAUUUAGCCUACCACCAAUUAGUGGAGGACCUGGAAAAUUAUGGCAAUUUGAGUGGAGGACCUGGAUUGUUCUUAUCAGUUAGCUUAGCUGUUAACUUAUUAUAUUCGAAGGUUUGUUCACAAGAAACAAAGUUAUAUCAGGAGCCCAACCAAUUGACUUUUUGUUUUGUUUUGAUCAAAUGUGGGUCAGGGGUUCGAACUUGGUACCUCAUCCAACGUGGGGAAGAGAAGUAGCACUAGACCAAGAGCUACUUGAUACCAGUUGAUAUUCUAUAUAUGUUAUGGUUAUGGCAGCUAAAAUCCUCUCCUUCCUUCCUUGCCAAAGUUUUAAACUGCAAGAAAUUAUAUUGUUAAAGCCACAAAUGUCUGCAGAAGAUAAGGCAAGUUUUCGAAUAAAACAAGGCAGGCUGAAAGCCAAACGUGACGUACGUGAAGGGCAAGACGGCAUUGAAAGUUCCUUCCUGGAAUGUCACGUGUGAACAGAGAACGCCAUUGUUGAAUGAAGACUUGAUUUAUUGCUUUUUAAUUUUAAUGGGAGACUUUGAUCCCAUAUUGUUAUUAUUUUCCACUGAUACAGACGGGAGGAGAAAAAUGAAAAAAAAAAUUCCACUGGAAUGAAAAGUUGCAGAGGUGUGACGAAAUGGCAUUAAUUGGAAAACAAGCAAGAACCUAGGUGGGUGGGUUGUUGUCCUAACACACUCACGUUUGUUUGUUUCAGUUCUAGAAGAUGCACAAAAUUUCAAUUCAUGUGGGCUUUGAACUUUGGAGAAAAGUUGAGUCAUGAUAUCAAUGGGUUUUGGUGGAAAUAGAUUUGUAGUCUGUCAAAUAUAUGGACUGCAUUAUUUCUAAAAGCUGAUAGUGAAAAGCAGUAUGCAUCCAGAUGCAGUGCAGGGCCAACAACCAAGAUGCUGGAAAAAAGAAAUGCAAGUUUUCUGUUGACCAAUCUUGGCCUCUCUUCUUCUACUCAAACUUUAUGUGUAUCAUGUGAACUUUUGACUCAAAAACCAAGCGUCAAGGACCUUGCUGAUAACUUAAUGAAAUCACAAAUUUCUUUAGAUAUUAAUUAGAUAUUAUCACGUUCGCACGUGCAGGUGCAAACUGUAUGAAGUUAGUUAUUUACCCCAAAAGAAUUCAGAAAAAUUAUUUUCAUAUUGUAUGAAGUUUGUUGACUCAAAAAAGUCACCACUCACCACUCACCACUCACCUACAGGAAGCCCACGAAAUUAGUUUGGGCCUUGACUGAUUGAAUUGACUGCUUAGGGCCCUCAGUUUUCUACUUUGUUUUUGUUUUUGGUUUUUAAUGUAAGAGAGAGUCUAAGCCCAGUUUGGUCUGGUCCGUUAUUUUCUCUCUUGAUUAAAGUCCGUUCGGCUUGGCCCAAGCCUAAUAAAUUUUGGACCGAAUUGGCCUGGCCCAUUGACUAGGCUUAGCUACAAGGGGGAGAGGUUUCUCUUACACAUACAUUACGUAUCAAGGUGUCAUGAGAGUUCAAACUAAGACCACUAGUUAGCAAGUGAAUGCCCUUUUCCACUUGGCUAGACCCCGUUGGCUCCUACUUUGUUUUAUUAUUACUGAGUUAAAAUUAAAAUAGAGAAUCCCCUAAUAUAAAUUGAAUUUCCUUAUGCUUAAAGGACUAUGUUUGGUCAGACCGAAACAAAAAGGACUGGAAAUCUCUACAAAUGAUAAAAUAGAGAAAAGGGCACUUGUUUUCACAUCCCGCAUCAAUUAGUAUCGCACCGUUGAGUAGCUACUUAUCAGAUUGGCAAAAUCCUUGAACGGCUAUAAUCUAAUGCUUGGCUAACAAGUAAAGGAUUAUGAACGGCUAUGGUUACGUGCGAGUUUAAUGAGAUUAGGAUUCGUUUUUAGUUUCGUUCUAUGUAUUUUAUUUUCAAUUUCACGUUUGUCCCAGUGAGAUUAGGAUUUCCUUAUUCUGAAAGGAUAGGAUUUUGGUCUGAAUUGUUUAUAAAUACAAGUCCACUUGUUCUCACACUUGGCAUAGCAAGAAAAGAAACCCAGUAGAGUUACCUCAAUCAAAGACGAUCCAUCAAUAUCACUAAUCUUCGUCUUCUUUUUUGACAGUGCAAGCAAACUUGUUGAAGAUGGACUUCGAGCAGUUUUAUCGUUGUUACUCUGUCUCCUCAAUUGGCAAGCCACAUGCGGAAAACGGUGAUAAAAUUAUAAUGCCGCCGUCGGCUCUCCAUCGCCUUGUUUGGGGUCCACAGGUGGCCUACCCUAUGCUGUUUCAGCUCAACAAUCCCAAUUCUGAAUCUGGACGAGUUACUCAUUGCGGGGUCUUGGAAUUUGUUGCCGAUGAGGGCUUUGUAUUUUUACCAUCUUGGAUGAUGCACAACCUGCUUUUACAAGAGGGUAACCUUGUUCAUGUCAAAAGCCAAAGCCUUGGGAAGGGAACAUAUGUCAAACUGCAACCUCACACCAAGGACUUUCUUGAUAUCUCAAACCCUAAAGCCGCUCUGGAGACGGCGUUGAGGAGCUACUCUUGUUUAACCAUUGGUGACACUAUCAUGCUUCCUUAUAACAGUAAGAAGUAUUACAUCAACAUAAUUGAAACAAAGCCCUCCUCUGCAAUCUGUAUAGUUGAUACCGACUGCGAGGUUGAUUUUGCCCCUCCUCUUGAUUAUGUGGAGCCUGAAAAGAAGCCAGCACCAUCCACUCUGCCAACGAAGAGACCACAAGAAGUUGAAGAAGAUGAACAAGAGACACCUGAAAAGAUAGCAAAGUUCAGUCCCUUUACUGGUUCAGCCAGACGAUUGGAUGGAGAACCGGUCUUGACACAAUCCGUUGCACCUGCAGUUCCCUCUCCUCCGGAACUCAGGCAGCGCCAACUGGAGAGUGAAAAUGGAACCAACAAAAAGGGUUCUAAGUCAUCAGCUUCUGCUUCACUUCAACAUUCUGGAAAGCUUGUGUUUGGUUCAAAUGUGAACCGGCCUGUGAAUGCAAUCCCAAAAGUUGCCCCAAACAACCGCAGCAGGCAAGAGCCCCCUCACAAGGCAGAAGAGCCAAAGUUGCAAGCAUUCACAGGGAAGAAGUAUACCCUGAAAGGGUGAAGUUAGGGCAUAUCGAUCCUUCAUCUAAAACAUAUGAAUUAAACGCUUAGCUAAUAUGUAAAGGGUUAGGAACGGCUAUGGUUGAAAACUUGGAUAAUAAGUAACACCCAGAGUGGGAGAAUCUGUUUCCUUUAUUAUUUGCUUGUUCUGAAUACCAUCAAUUAAAUUUUGAAGCAAUUGGAAUUGUUAUCUUUUCUACUCCUUGUUCUCUGAUUCUUCCUUUUGUAAUUUUCAUACAUGAUUGGUGCCAUUAAAAUAACAACUCAAUGUACGUAAUAAAUAUCUUUCAUACAUACAUUACACAUAAUUGGUAUUGUUUGCUUGUUAAGCUCAUUUAUCCUGGAUUGGAUUGCGUAAUAAAAUCAGGGAUGUAAACUGUGAGUAGUUUACUUUUAUUGCUUGCACUCUCAGGGAAUUAAGUUGCUUGCAUCUCUAAAUCUUCUCAAUGGUGGGAUGACUUUUGUUGAGCAUCGGAGCAAGAUAUGCAGAACCUGCUUCACUAAUUUUCUCUAAGACUGUUAUCAGAUAUACAAGCUGUAGCAUUACAUUGCAAUCACUAAUCAAGAUCAAUGCACAAUUCUGAGUUUUCUGUUCUCUGCUUUCUUCCUUAUUCUUCUCUAAAUUCCUCUACUGUCAUCAACAACAUCGCCUGUACGAUUGACAGGAACACAAUAAACUUUUCCUGAGCCGCCACUUCCAAUCAUAAUACUUUUUGAAACUCUGAAAUUCAACCUCUGAAAUAAGGUGAGCUUCCAAUCAGAAUCCGAUCUGUUUCUCUUCCAAUAAGCUCUGACCAUGAAGAAUGAUAAGGACAAAGCCAACAAGGACAAAAGUAUGCCCAAAGUUAAGAUCAAUGCAAGAUAUGUAGACCAAAUUUUGCUGGAAUUUCGAGGUUGAAAAUUACAUAUGCUGAGUUUUGCUGAGGGCCUAGCUGCACAGAGACCUUGAUUGUCCAAGAAGCUUCUGUCAUAAGCAGGAUUUUCAAAUUCAAUUGGGAUCUUCCCAGAUAGGUGAUUGGAAGAAAGAUUGAAGUUGCUGAGCUUCAGAUUCCCAAGUUGAGCUGGAAUUUGGCCAGAAAAUUGGUUUUCUGAAAGGUCCAGUUCAGUAAUGACUGGUAGAAGACCAAGUCCUGCUGGAAUUGGUCCAGAGAGUUGAUUUCGACUCAAAUUAAGAGCGUUGAGUGAUUUCCAUGAUAUAAUCUCUGAUGGAAGGAAGCCAGUAAGCUGAUUCUGAUCAAGAGAAAGAGUGAUUAAGCUAGGAAGAGUAGUAAGUUUCUGAGGGAUAGUACCGUUAAAAAGGUUAUUACCGGCGUCAAAAACCUUCAAGUUCCAGGAUGACACCCCGGUUGGAAUGUUACCUGAAAAUCUGUUAUCUCUUAUUUCCAGCCGUGUAAGAUUCCGAGACAUUUUCUCAGGAAGCUCACCGGUAAGAGAGUUGUUGCUCAUCAGCACGUGAAUCAAGUUUGGUGCUGUCCACAUGCCACUAGGAAUGUUCCCAGACAAUCCAUUACCAUAAACCUUCACUUCUGUUAAACUAGUGCAAUUUCCAAGAGAGCUUGGUAACUCCCCAGUGAGAUUGUUCUCAUAAGCUACAAGUGUUGACAGCUUACCCCAAUAGCACAAAUGGUCUGGCAGUUUGCCAGUGAGCCUAUUCCCCGAAACCUCGAACCCUUCAAGCUCUGAAUACCUUCCAAAGUCUGGAGGCAAUGUUCCAGACAAAUUAUUGAUGAACACUCUGAACUGUUUGAGAUUUGGUAAACGGCCAAUGCUUGCUGGAACAGCACCAGAAAAACCAUUUAAAAACAAAGCUAACCAUGUUAAUUUGGUAAGGUUUCCAUAAUCUUGUGGUAUUGGGCCUGUUAAAUAGUUUGUAGAAAUAUCAAUGACAGUCAAGUUCAAUGCUUCAACCACUUGAGGUACAUCCCCAGACAGGCUGUUGUUGUAGAGAUAGAUUAUACUCAAAUUCUUCAACAGAAACAAAACACUUGGGAUUGUCCCAUUUAAACUGUUGUAUGCCAAAUCCAAUUCUUCCAGUGCUGCCAUUUCUCCAAGUGUUCCGGGGAGUUCUCCAAUCAAAUUCGAUCCGCGUAUAUACAAAUUCUUCAAGUUUUUCAACUUGGUGAAAUUGGAAG
RNAcentral lists this long non-coding RNA (6493 nucleotides) under Prunus persica (peach). Its description in RNAcentral is "long non-coding RNA (PPER_LNC007497)". The record is from RNAcentral. Lineage: Eukaryota; Viridiplantae; Streptophyta; Magnoliopsida; Rosales; Rosaceae.